RNAcentral lists this unclassified non-coding RNA (169 nucleotides) under Plectosphaerella oligotrophica. RNAcentral describes it as "partial internal transcribed spacer 2". The record is from RNAcentral. Lineage: Eukaryota; Fungi; Ascomycota; Sordariomycetes; Glomerellales; Plectosphaerellaceae.
CAACCCUCGAGCCCCUGUGGCCCGGCGUUGGGGAUCUGCCACGGCAGGCCCCUAAAACCAGUGGCGGACCCGAUGGGCCCUCUCCUUUACGUAGUAGCAUUCGCCUCGUAUUGGGAGUCCUCGGCGUCCUGCCUCUAAACCCCCCACAAGCCCGCUCCGGCGGCACCAA